Molecule: RNA transcript, 1830 nt
Organism: Phoenix dactylifera (date palm)
Lineage: Eukaryota; Viridiplantae; Streptophyta; Magnoliopsida; Arecales; Arecaceae
Source: RefSeq, a predicted model, not a curated record
AUACCUGGAAGAGGGAGAGAACCGGGGGAGCAAAAUUGGUUAGCUUAUCAUCACGUGCUAUGCACGUGCCCGAUCGCUGGCAUCUCCAAGCGGUAGGGAUGAGCCGCGGAGGAUAGCGAGCGAGCUGAACAGCCGCACCCGCCGCCGAGGAAGAUGAAUCCGAUUGCCGCCAUCGGCAUCCCGCCGUUCAAACCACCUCCUCUCGUUCAUCUCUGCCGCCCUGGCCCCGUCCUCCCCCUCGUCUCUCUUCCAGCCCCACUGCGACUGCGAUUGCGAUUGCGACCCCUUCGAGGGCCCAUGCCCGUCCUCGCCUCCGCCCCCCAGCCCCCCUUCCGGGCCGCCUCGACGGCGGAGGUGGACAUGAUCCGCGGCCGCGACGGUAUGUGGUCGGCGCGAACGGAGCAGAGGGUGGCGGUCCUGUGGGACCUGGACAACAAGCCCCCCCGGGGACCGCCCUACGAAGCCGCCGUCGCCCUCCGCCGCGUUGGGGAGCUAUUCGGCCGCGUAGUCGACAUCUCGGCCUACGCGAACCGCCACGCCUUCGCCCACCUCCCCCAGUGGGUGCUCGCCCAGCGCCGCGAGCGCCGCCGCCUGGACGCCCUGGAGCGCAAGGGCCUCGUCGUUCCCGACGAGACCUACGUCUGCGGCGUCUGCGGCCGCCGCUGCCGCACCCGACCGGACCUUAAGAAGCACUUCCGCCAGCUCCACGAGCGCGAGCGCCAGAAGAAGGUCGGCCGCAUGCGCUCCCUCAAGGGAAAGAAGCGCCAGCGCUACCGGGAGCGCUUCAUCGCCGGGAACCGCAAGUACGAGGAGGCCGCGCGCGAGCUGCUCACCCCCAAGACCGGGUACGGCCUCGCGUCGGAGCUCCGGCGGGCGGGGGUGCUCGUGCGGACGGUGGAGGACAAGCCCCAGGCGGCGGACUCCGCCCUCAAGCGGCAGCUGCAGCACUCCGUGGCGCGGGGGAUCGACUGGCUCCUCCUCGUCUCCGACGACUCCGACUUCUCGGAGAUGGUCCGGCGGGCCAGGGAGUCGGACCUCCGGACCGUGGUGGUCGGGGACGGGCGGACGGCGCUGGGCCGGCACGCCGACCUCUGGGUGCCGUGGGCCCGCGUGGAGAACGGCCAGGUCGGCGAGGAGAUCCUGCGGUCUUGGCAGAGGAAGACUGGAUCAGGAUUCCCGACCAUUGAUGAUUAUGACGACGACGAUUACGGAUAUAAAUACGAAUGCGAGGAGGAGGGGUUCUAUUCGCCUGCUGUUUUUUACGAGGAAGAUGGUGAUUCUGGAGAUUUGAAUGAGGUGGUCGAUAGGAUUGCAGUUGAUUAUUCUGGGUUUGGUGGUGUCAAGAUUUCGGCCUUUUCGGAGGAGGAGGCAUGCAGCAGGGAGAUUGUGGGAGAGGAUUUUGGGGAUGAUAGCUUCCCAAUCUUGGAGCCAUCAUUGCCGGGUGAGGACUUGGUUUUGGACAGUGUGGAAGAGGAGGAGGACGGCUACAUUUAUUAGCACAGGUUAGUAUUCUAUGCUCUGUUACAUGGCAGUCAAAGAAUUCAUGAGAAUCCUGGUACACUCUUGAAAGGGGGUUCAGAAUGAUAGCCAGGUAAAAGCAUGAUUUGGCUCCCAUGGUACUAGCUGUUGCAGGAAAGUGCGGCAAGGUUUGAACUCAGCUGAUGUAGAUAGAUGGCCUCAAACAUGUUGAGGUAAGACCUCACCGCAAUAAUCAAAAUAAUUUGUCACGAGAUCCAUCCUAUUCUUUUCUAUUUUGAAGUUUAUUUUAUGGCUCUCAAAAUAAGAGUGUCAUAGGAGAGUGCUUCUUAAAAGCGAUCUUUACUUGCAUCA